This is an RNA transcript of Papaver somniferum (opium poppy), 3020 nucleotides long. RefSeq lists it as uncharacterized. The transcript is spliced from 3 exons. NCBI's taxonomy places the organism in Eukaryota, Viridiplantae, Streptophyta, Magnoliopsida, Ranunculales, Papaveraceae. The record is from RefSeq and is a predicted model, not a curated record.
UAAUUAAUACUGAAAUCGGAUCCAUUUCCUUCCACACUAAUCAGAUCUAUUAUCUCAGCAUGUAUGAAAAACAUCUUCUACUAUCUUUGAUUUUGUGAACCCAAAUUGUUUUACUAUUCUUGAUAGAUAUGUGAAUGAUAUAGCUUGUAUGGUAUUUUUGUCUCUCUAGAUUUUGCACUUAGGGUGUUUGUUUAGUUGAUUUCAUGGAGUUUUAAAGCAUGGAUGAAGCGACGCAUUAUGGCCAGUAUGUUUCUUUUGUGGUUCAAACUUUCUGGGAGAUGUUUCAAGAUAGCAUGGAAGUCACAGUCUAGCAAGGAAGAAAUCCUUGCUGCUGGAAGGUAAGAUGGUUUCAACUUUCAACCAUGCAAAUGCAAAGUUGAUUGAAUUGGCAAUUAUUAUUAAUCAUACAAAAUUUGCUCAGUUGUUUCAUUCUAUAAAUGCUUUGAUUUAUACGAAGUUUCUUUGAGUUGGACUAGCUAAUACACUGAAGAUCUAAGUAAUUCGUCUGCUCGCUUAAUUGGUUUAAAAAAUAAAUGAAAAAACUAGCUAAUACACUCAAGAUCUAGGUAAUUCGUCUGCUGGCUUAGUUUUUUACUGGUAGAUAAUUAAAGACAACCAAUUUGCUAACUUCCUUAGAGGUUUUAGCAUUACCAAAUUUCAGCAGUUGAACACUCGAGGAUAGUCACACACUAACAGGUUGACUCCAACUAAGACGUUGCUUAUGCAGGAACCCCUCAUUUUUAACAACUAUGAUUAGCUGAAACGAAUGUCAAUGUAAUUUCAAAAUUCUGAACCAUGGAAUCAAAAUUCUGAACCAUGGAAUACAUGCAGCGUUGUCAUUGUUUUGUAUGUGUGAGCUGUGAGAAAUCUAUCUGGGUCAGUAAGCUAAAUAUAGUAGAAGAAGGAUCUUUAUACUGUAUCUCUUCUGAAUGUUUAACUACUGCACAUUAUUGAUAGAGCAAAUCAUUCCGAAAGCCCUAGCCAGAUUUUUUCUCGGUCAAUCCAGCAUUUUCGAUUCUCAUGUACCACCUAAAUUAUGUAAGGACGGUGGAGCAUUUGACGGAAUCUGUACUGUCAAUUUAUUCCCACAAAUGAUUUAACAACUCAGACAGAUCACAAGAAUAUAAACAUUCAGCUCAUCUCAUCCUUCUUAUCUACCAUUGACAUUUUUAACAUAAAAAAAUUGUUUAAAUUAUUUAAUCAUCCAAUGGGCUGAAGAAAUUUCGCUGUUUGUCCCCAUAUAAUCUUUCGUCAACUAUAUGCUUUGGCGUGUAAAUUUGACAAACUAGCUAGCUACAUGUAUCCACAUUAACCCACCGUUUCCAAAAGUCUUUGUUCUGUUUAAUAAUCACCAAGACGUGCUGAUGUAGUACAUCUUUUUUUGUAUCAACAAUGAUUGUUGAUUUUUUUCUUCUGUAUCAACUGUAACAGUUGAUCUCAAGCUUUUGGAUCAACUAUGACGGUUGAUCCCUUACGUCAGUUUAUGUUAGUUUGCUUAGCAAGUAUUUCAUUUUCUCGUUUACGUCAAACUCUUUCCUUUAAUCAGUUCGUGUAAGUUUAUAUAAAGGCUGGGACUCUUGUUUACAAGACACAUCUUAUUACCAAUAUUAUUAUCAAGUUUGUUUAUCAAUCUUUUAUCUUAGAAUCUUGAUCAUAGAAUCAGUUUUCUAUUAAGUUUCUGACGAAACUUAAACCUAUCCCCGUUACCCCUGUUCUGUGCUACACUAGUUGGUAUCAGAUACAGAGUUUUUAGAUUUUUAUCUAGAAACAGAUCCUUUCCACAGUUUCCGCAACAACUCAUAACCCUAAAUUUUCAAACAAACCCACCUUUCUUUUCAAUGGGAGAAAAGUUGACACAGACGGAUAUUGAUGCCAUUGUCACAACACUUGAAACAAAGCUCAGCGCAGCACUUGAAACCAAGCUCGGCAACAUAUUUGAAACGUCCUUUAGUUCUUUAGAAACCAGGUUUGAUAAGUUUAUAGAGGAACUGGAGAGACUUAAUCAGAAAAUAAUGCUUAUUAUGAAACAUCAUGUUACGGAGUCACAAGAUGUUAAAGAAGUGUCGCUGUAAACUCAAGAGGAUUCGUCAUCUUUUAAUGAUACUGUAGCUGUUUCAGCUGCAUCUGUGGGCGAAGAAGAAAAUCCAGUCGACAAGGUUUCAUAUGAUUUGUCAGCGAUUAAUGACGCUGCAAAUUUUGGUUGGAGACGGAUUCGAUCCAUUGCCUUUUAAUGUUGUAGCACAACAACACAUAUUUACGAAGAGGAAGGCAUAUGGUGGAGAACAACUUGAUGACAAGGACUACUACUUUAAGCCUAAAAUUUUUUCUAACGAUAAAGAUGAGGUGGUGAUUACAAAGGAAGAAAUUUUUAGUUCCUUGCAAUUGAUUCUGAAAUUCAAUGAGCUAAUCAAUGUGAUGGACCAGGAGAAGAGCGACUCAAACAAAUGUGUUUUCUUUAUGUUCGUAAUCGUUAUUUGUAUGGUUGGUAUCUUUGUGUUCGAUCGAGGAAAACUUAAACACAACUCUUAUGCUACUUUGAGACACAUUUCUUGGAUGCUUCGGUUUAUGAUCUCUAAAACUACAAGUUUUGUGUUUGAUCGUGGUAAGUCGGUAAACGUGAUAUCUACAUUUUUCAUGGAGGAAAAUAAGUCGUAUUCUUUGAUGACAACUUGAAGUCUAGAACAAUAUAUGGAGAAAAUAAAGUUUUUCUUAUUAGCUAACUCGAGGGUGAGUUUUUUUCAAGAAGGGGGACUGAUGUAGUACAUCUUUCUCUGUAUCAACAAUGAUUGUUGAUCCUUUUCUUCUGUAUCAACUGUAACAGUUGACCUCAAGCUUUUGGAUCAACUAUGACUGUUGAUCCCUUACGUCAGUUUAAGUUAGUUUUCUUCGCAAGUAUUUCCUUUUCUAGUUUACGUCAAACUCUUUCCUUUAAUCAAUUUAUGUAAGUCUAUAUAAAGGCUAGGACUCUUGUUUACAAGACACAUCUUAUUAUCAAUAUUAUUAUCAAGUUUGUUUAUCAA